CUACGGGUGGCAGCAGUGGGGAAUAUUGGACAAUGGGGGAAACCCUGAUCCAGCAAUGCCGCGUGUGUGAAGAAGGCCUGCGGGUUGUAAAGCACUUUCGGUUGGGAGGACUGCUUCUAGCACUAAUAUUGUUGGAAGUUGACGUUACCUUCAGAAGAAGCACCGGCUAACUCCGUGCCAGCAGCCGCGGUAAUACGGAGGGUGCUAGCGUUAAUCGGAAUUACUGGGCGUCAAGCGCGCGUAGGCGGCUAGAUCAGUCGGGUGUGAACGCCCCGGGCUUAACCUGGGAACUGCAUCCGAUACUGUCUAGCUUGAGUACAGGAGAGGGGAGUGGAAUUCCACAUGUAGCGGUGAAAUGCGUAGAUAUGUGGAGGAACACCAAUGGCGAAGGCAGCUCUCUGGCCUGAUACUGACGCUGAGGUGCGAAAGCGUGGGGAGCAAACAGGAUUAGAUACCCGCGUAGUC
RNAcentral lists this ribosomal RNA (465 nucleotides) under uncultured bacterium. RNAcentral's name for it is "partial 16S ribosomal RNA". It matches the Rfam family "Bacterial small subunit ribosomal RNA", at positions 339 to 795 of the family's 1533-position model. The record is from RNAcentral.